This 81-nucleotide small nucleolar RNA is filed under the name Carlito syrichta (Philippine tarsier). RNAcentral describes it as "Small nucleolar RNA SNORD115 (ENSTSYG00000037024.1)". It matches the Rfam family "Small nucleolar RNA SNORD115". Rfam says of the family: HBII-52 is a member of the C/D class of snoRNAs, which contain the C (UGAUGA) and D (CUGA) box motifs. The record is from Rfam by way of RNAcentral. Lineage: Eukaryota; Metazoa; Chordata; Mammalia; Primates; Tarsiidae.
GAGUCAAUGAUGAGAACUUUAUAUUGUCUAAAGAGAAGUGAUGGCUUAAAAAUCAUGCUCAAUAGUAUUAUGCUGAGGCCC